Molecule: ribosomal RNA, 330 nt
Filed under: Triticum aestivum (bread wheat)
Lineage: Eukaryota; Viridiplantae; Streptophyta; Magnoliopsida; Poales; Poaceae
Description: partial small subunit ribosomal RNA
Source: RNAcentral
AUGUCGUGGCUCAUGUGGUCGUACAUGUCGGGCGGGGGGCGCUGCUCGUACGCGUCUUUCAUGCCGCGUUUCAUCGCCACGAGGUACGGCGUGGCCGGGAACAUGAGGGACACGCCAUUGAUAGUCCACUUGAUGUGGCCAUCGAUCCGGUUCUGGGUGUUGAGGAGGAGCAGCGUGCGGUCGGCCCUCGCCGGCAUGGGCUCUACGAAGCGUGGGUGCGCGAAGAUGGCCCUGCUCUGCUCCACCCUGAUAGCCGUGUUGUUCCAUGCCGGGCCAGCCGGUGGCGCCGUGGGCGGAGGCAUCCACGGGUUGUUGCCGUUGAAGGCGUAG